AGGGUAAUAGCUCAGGGGUAGAGUGUGUGCUUAGCAUGCACAAGGUCCUGGGUUCAAUCCCCAGUACCUUC
This 71-nucleotide transfer RNA is filed under the name Camelus bactrianus (Bactrian camel). It matches the Rfam family "tRNA". From Rfam's summary of the family: Transfer RNA (tRNA) molecules are approximately 80 nucleotides in length. RNAcentral also lists the same sequence under 3 other names. Lineage: Eukaryota; Metazoa; Chordata; Mammalia; Artiodactyla; Camelidae. The record is from Rfam by way of RNAcentral.